RNAcentral lists this long non-coding RNA (239 nucleotides) under Hordeum vulgare. Its description in RNAcentral is "long non-coding RNA (HVUL_LNC001422)". Lineage: Eukaryota; Viridiplantae; Streptophyta; Magnoliopsida; Poales; Poaceae. The record is from RNAcentral.
CGUGUUUUGAAUUAUACCCCUUGAAAUACCCUGGAUGCUCUGGAUCAGCUCGAGGGCGUUUAACUGAUCCAGGAUCUAUUGGCCUGUGAACGCAGGUGGUGCCAAGUUUUUGACAACUUUACCUUUGGUAAAGUUCUUCUUGUCUUUUCUGAACUGAUGGUUAGGAUCCAGGAACUGUCUAUGCAAUUCAAAGCAAGAAUACUUCCGACCCUCCUGCAACCAAUGAAACUGAAGAGCUG